UGUUUAAUUUAGACACCCGUGUGUUUCGAACUUCUUUCCGAUACCUACAUGAAAAUAUGUUCGUACUGCUGAUAGCUUACAA
This is a long non-coding RNA of Diprion similis, 82 nucleotides long. RefSeq lists it as uncharacterized. The transcript has 3 exons. Lineage: Eukaryota; Metazoa; Arthropoda; Insecta; Hymenoptera; Diprionidae. The record is from RefSeq and is a predicted model, not a curated record.